Molecule: ribosomal RNA, 253 nt
Filed under: uncultured bacterium
Lineage: Bacteria
Description: partial 16S ribosomal RNA
Rfam family: Bacterial small subunit ribosomal RNA
Source: RNAcentral
UACGUAGGGGGCGAGCGUUGUCCGGAAUUACUGGGCGUAAAGGGUGCGUAGGCGGUUUAACAAGUCCAAUGUGAAAUACCCGGGCUUAACCUGGGGGUGUCAUUGGAAACUGUUAGACUUGAGUGCAGGAGAGGAAAGUGGAAUUCCUAGUGUAGCGGUGAAAUGCGUAGAUAUUAGGAGGAACACCAGUGGCGAAGGCGACUUUCUGGACUGCAACUGACGCUGAGGCACGAAAGCGUGGGGAGCAAACAGG